This 240-nucleotide ribosomal RNA is filed under the name uncultured bacterium. Its description in RNAcentral is "partial 16S ribosomal RNA". It matches the Rfam family "Bacterial small subunit ribosomal RNA", at positions 96 to 334 of the family's 1533-position model. The record is from RNAcentral.
UGGCGAACGGGUGAGUAACGCGUGAGGAACCUGCCUCAAAGAGGGGGACAACAGUUGGAAACGACUGCUAAUACCGCAUAAGCCCACGGGUCGGCAUCGACCUGAGGGAAAAGGAGCAAUCCGCUUUGAGAUGGCCUCGCGUCCGAUUAGCUAGUUGGUGAGGUAACGGCCCACCAAGGCGACGUUCGGUAGCCGGACUGAGAGGUUGAACGGCCACAUUGGGACUGAGACACGGCCCAG